This 488-nucleotide ribosomal RNA is filed under the name uncultured bacterium. RNAcentral's name for it is "bacterial SSU rRNA". It matches the Rfam family "Bacterial small subunit ribosomal RNA", at positions 28 to 507 of the family's 1533-position model. The record is from RNAcentral.
GAUGAACGCUAGCGACAGGCCUAACACAUGCAAGGUCGAGGGGCAGCACAUGAGUAGCAAUACGAUGGUGGCGACCGGCGCACGGGUGAGUAACACGUAUGCAACCUACCUGUAAGAGGGGAAUAACCCGGAGAAAUUCGGACUAACACCGCAUAAUACCGAUUAACUGCAUGGUUGAUCGGUUAAAUAUUUAUAGCUUACAGAUGGGCAUGCGUAACAUUAGAUAGUUGGUGAGGUAACGGCUCACCAAGUCAACGAUGUUUAGGGGUUCUGAGAGGAAGGUCCCCCACACUGGUACUGAGACACGGACCAGACUCCUACGGGAGGCAGCAGUGAGGAAUAUUGGUCAAUGGGCGAGAGCCUGAACCAGCCAAGUCGCGUGAAGGAAGAAGGUUCUAUGGAUUGUAAACUUCUUUUGUAAGGGAAUAAAAAGAGUUACGUGUAACUUAUUGUAUGUACUUUACGAAUAAGGAUCGGCUAACUCCGUG